AGGACGAACGCUGGCGGCGGGCUUAACACAUGCAAGUCGAACGAAGCCUUCGGGCUUAGUGGCGCACGGGUGAGUAACACGUAGGCAACCUACCCUCAGCUGGGGAAUAACCAGGGGAAACCCUGGCUAAUACCGCAUAACGUCGUCGCGACCUCCUGGUCGUACGACCAAAGUUCUGGCGGCUGAGGAUGGGCCUGGCGUCGGAUUAGCUAGUUGGCGGGUAACCGGCCCACGAAGGCGACGAUCCGGUAGCGGUCUGAGAGGAUGACUCCGGCCACGACCUGGCACGUGAGACGACGGCCAGACCUACCGUACGGGAGGCCAGCAGGUCGAGGAA
Molecule: ribosomal RNA, 337 nt
Filed under: uncultured soil bacterium
Lineage: Bacteria
Description: bacterial SSU rRNA
Rfam family: Bacterial small subunit ribosomal RNA
Source: RNAcentral